UGGGAAUCGUUCCGCAAUGGACGAAAGUCUGACGGAGCAACGCCGCGUGUAUGAUGAAGGUCUUCGGAUUGUAAAGUACUGUCAUUGGGGAAGAACGGUUUUCUUGAAAAGAUUGAGAAGACAUGACGGUACCCAAGGAGGAAGCCCCGGCUAACUACGUGCCAGCAGCCGCGGUAAUACGUAGGGGGCAAGCGUUGUCCGGAAUUAUUGGGCGUAAAGGGCGCGUAGGCGGGCCUUUAAGUCCGGUGUGAAAGAAUCAGGGCUCAACCCUGAGAGUGCAUCGGAAACUGGAGGCCUUGAGGACAGGAGAGGAAAGUGGAAUUCCACGUGUAGCGGUGAAAUGCGUAGAUAUGUGGAGGAACACCAGUGGCGAAGGCGACUUUCUGGACUGUAACUGACGCUGAGGCGCGAAAGCGUGGGGAGCAAACAGGAUUAGAUACCCUGGUAGUCCACGCCGUAAACGAUGAGUGCUAGGUGUAGAGGGUAUCGACCCCCUUCUGUGCCGCAGUU
This 510-nucleotide ribosomal RNA is filed under the name uncultured bacterium. RNAcentral's name for it is "partial 16S ribosomal RNA". It matches the Rfam family "Bacterial small subunit ribosomal RNA", at positions 355 to 853 of the family's 1533-position model. The record is from RNAcentral.